This 555-nucleotide ribosomal RNA is filed under the name Kocuria palustris. Its description in RNAcentral is "bacterial SSU rRNA". It matches the Rfam family "Bacterial small subunit ribosomal RNA", at positions 82 to 649 of the family's 1533-position model. Lineage: Bacteria; Bacillati; Actinomycetota; Actinomycetes; Micrococcales; Micrococcaceae. The record is from RNAcentral.
CUGGUGUGGAUGAGUGGCGAACGGGUGAGUAAUACGUGAGUAACCUGCCCUUGACUCUGGGAUAAGCCCGGGAAACUGGGUCUAAUACUGGAUGCUACAUGUCACCGCAUGGUGGUGUGUGGAAAGGGUUUACUGGUCUUGGAUGGGCUCACGGCCUAUCAGCUUGUUGGUGAGGUAAUGGCUCACCAAGGCGACGACGGGUAGCCGGCCUGAGAGGGUGACCGGCCACACUGGGACUGAGACACGGCCCAGACUCCUACGGGAGGCAGCAGUGGGGAAUAUUGCACAAUGGGCGAAAGCCUGAUGCAGCGACGCCGCGUGAGGGAUGACGGCCUUCGGGUUGUAAACCUCUUUCAGCAGGGAAGAAGCCACAAGUGACGGUACCUGCAGAAGAAGCGCCGGCUAACUACGUGCCAGCAGCCGCGGUAAUACGUAGGGCGCAAGCGUUGUCCGGAAUUAUUGGGCGUAAAGAGCUCGUAGGCGGUUUGUCGCGUCUGCUGUGAAAGCCCGGGGCUUAACCCCGGGUGUGCAGUGGGUACGGGCAGACUAGAGUGC